RNAcentral lists this ribosomal RNA (1102 nucleotides) under Vibrio cholerae. RNAcentral describes it as "partial 23S ribosomal RNA". It matches the Rfam family "Bacterial large subunit ribosomal RNA", at positions 31 to 1188 of the family's 2925-position model. The record is from RNAcentral. Lineage: Bacteria; Pseudomonadati; Pseudomonadota; Gammaproteobacteria; Vibrionales; Vibrionaceae.
CCUGGGCAGUCAGAGGCGAUGAAGGACGUACUAACUUGCGAUAAGCGCAGAUAAGGCAGUAAGAGCCGUUUGAGUCUGCGAUUUCCGAAUGGGGAAACCCAACUGCAUAAGCAGUUACUGUUAACUGAAUACAUAGGUUAACAGAGCAAACCGGGGGAACUGAAACAUCUAAGUACCCCGAGGAGAAGAAAUCAACCGAGAUUCCGGUAGUAGCGGCGAGCGAACCUGGAUUAGCCCUUAAGCACUCGGUGAAGUAGGUGAACAAGCUGGAAAGCUUGGCGAUACAGGGUGAUAGCCCCGUAACCGACGCUUCAUCGAGCGUGAAAUCGAGUAGGGCGGGACACGUGAUAUCCUGUCUGAAUAUGGGGGGACCAUCCUCCAAGGCUAAAUACUCCUGACUGACCGAUAGUGAACCAGUACCGUGAGGGAAAGGCGAAAAGAACCCCUGUGAGGGGAGUGAAAUAGAACCUGAAACCGUGUACGUACAAGCAGUAGGAGCACCUUCGUGGUGUGACUGCGUACCUUUUGUAUAAUGGGUCAGCGACUUAUAUUCAGUGGCAAGGUUAACCGUAUAGGGGAGCCGUAGCGAAAGCGAGUCUUAACUGGGCGCUCAGUCUCUGGAUAUAGACCCGAAACCGGGUGAUCUAGCCAUGGGCAGGUUGAAGGUUGAGUAACAUCAACUGGAGGACCGAACCGACUAAUGUUGAAAAAUUAGCGGAUGACUUGUGGCUAGGGGUGAAAGGCCAAUCAAACUCGGAGAUAGCUGGUUCUCCCCGAAAGCUAUUUAGGUAGCGCCUCGGACGAAUACUACUGGGGGUAGAGCACUGUUAAGGCUAGGGGGUCAUCCCGACUUACCAACCCUUUGCAAACUCCGAAUACCAGUAAGUACUAUCCGGGAGACACACGGCGGGUGCUAACGUCCGUCGUGGAGAGGGAAACAACCCAGACCGCCAGCUAAGGUCCCAAAGUAUUGCUAAGUGGGAAACGAUGUGGGAAGGCUCAGACAGCUAGGAUGUUGGCUUAGAAGCAGCCAUCAUUUAAAGAAAGCGUAAUAGCUCACUAGUCGAGUCGGCCUGCGCGGAAGAUGUAACGGGGCUAAGCA